UGUUUGUUAAAACUAGAGACCCUGAAUAUCUUUAACAAGAUCCUGAAGUGAUUAGCACAGGCAUUAAUAAUGAGAACCAUUAAGAGGGAGGACUUGUUAAAACAGAGAUCACGCAGUCGCACCCCAGCGUUUCAGAUUUAAUUUGUCUGGAGUGUAGCCUAGGCGUUGAGAUAUUUAAGAGCUCCUCAAGGAAUUCCACUGUGAAGGGAAGUUUCAGAGACAGCAAUACGGAGCUCUUCUGCUAUACGGAGUACCUGCAGGAGAUUUAGCAAGUUUGGUCAGAGGAAACCCAAUCCACAUUGGAACAAGGCUUCUUAAGACAUGGAUAUAAUUUGGUGAGCCUCUCUCAAGAAAGACUGAGUGACCUGUUCUUAUCAUCAAAUAUGGAUUCUUUGUAUUGGCUUUUUUAAAAUAUAGAGAUUUAUUUAUUUAUUUACUCAUAUUGGCCUUUUAAGUAUGAAUUUUAUUGUGUGUUUUGCUGCAUGAUGAGCAGCCCUCCUAAGUUAGCUGAAUAAAAAGUCCAAUUAAAUUCCCUGAAACAAAAGAUUCAAAUCUUACUGUUUUUCAAAAUAAUAUUUCCUAGUUAUACCCCAUGGAAGAAAUAAUCACUAAAGAUUAUUUUUAAUGUACUUUUAAACUCUCUUUUUUAAUUUCAAUAGAUUUAGGGGUUCAACAUAUAAAGAUUCA
Molecule: long non-coding RNA, 687 nt
Organism: Callithrix jacchus (white-tufted-ear marmoset)
Lineage: Eukaryota; Metazoa; Chordata; Mammalia; Primates; Cebidae
Source: RefSeq, a predicted model, not a curated record